Molecule: ribosomal RNA, 468 nt
Filed under: uncultured bacterium
Lineage: Bacteria
Description: partial 16S ribosomal RNA
Rfam family: Bacterial small subunit ribosomal RNA
Source: RNAcentral
GACGAACGCUGGCGGCGUGCUUAACACAUGCAAGUCGAACGGCAAGGCCCUGCUUUUGUGGGGUUCUCGAGUGGCGAACGGGUGAGUAACACGUGAGUAACCUGCCCUUGACUUUGGGAUAACUUCAGGAAACUGGGGCUACUACCGUAUAGCAGCUCCUGCUGCAUGGUGGGGGUUGGAAAGUUUCGGCGGUUGGGGAUGGACUCGCGGCUUAUCAGCUUGCUGGUGGGGUAGUGGCUUACCAAGGCUUUGACGGGUAGCCGGCCUGAGAGGGUGACCGGCGACAUUGGGCCUACGAGACGGACCAGAGGGCAACGGGAGGCAGCGGUGGGGAACAUUGCACAGUGAGAGGACGCCGGAUGAGGCAACCCUGCGUGCGGGAUGACGGUCUGCGGGGUGAAAACCGCUUUCGCUUGAGACGAAGCGUGAGUGACGGUAAUGGAUAAAGAAGCACCGGCUAACUACGUG